GAUUGUCAUCAGUUGCGAUGGGACGAUACACCUGUUCCCAUGUCGAACACAGAAGUUAUAGUCCAUCACCGGCGGGAGGUAACUUGGGGUUGCCCCCUGGGAGAUAUUCGAGUGGCCAAGG
Molecule: ribosomal RNA, 121 nt
Filed under: Lactococcus cremoris
Lineage: Bacteria; Bacillati; Bacillota; Bacilli; Lactobacillales; Streptococcaceae
Source: RNAcentral